UGGGGAAUUUUGGACAAUGGGCGCAAGCCUGAUCCAGCAAUACCGCGUGCAGGAUGAAGGCCUUCGGGUUGUAAACUGCUUUUGUACGGAACGAAACGGCUCUUUCUAAUAAAGAGGGCUAAUGACGGUACCGUAAGAAUAAGCACCGGCUAACUACGUGCCAGCAGCCGCGGUAAUACGUAGGGUGCAAGCGUUAAUCGGAAUUACUGGGCGUAAAGCGUGCGCAGGCGGUUAUGUAAGACAGAUGCGAAAUCCCCGGGCUCAACCUGGGACCUGCAUUUGUGACUGCAUAGCUGGAGUACGGUAGAGGGGGAUGGAAUUCCGCGUGUAGCAGUGAAAUGCGUAGAUAUGCGGAGGAACACCGAUGGCGAAGGCAAUCCCCUGGACCUGUACUGACGCUCAUGCACGAAAGCGUGGGGAGCAAACA
Molecule: ribosomal RNA, 427 nt
Filed under: uncultured bacterium
Lineage: Bacteria
Description: bacterial SSU rRNA
Rfam family: Bacterial small subunit ribosomal RNA
Source: RNAcentral